This 490-nucleotide long non-coding RNA is filed under the name Setaria viridis. Its description in RNAcentral is "long non-coding RNA (SVIR_LNC011269)". The record is from RNAcentral. Lineage: Eukaryota; Viridiplantae; Streptophyta; Magnoliopsida; Poales; Poaceae.
AAAGAAUCAGCUCUCAUAAAGAAUUAGAAUCAGAUAAAACUUUACUUAAAAAAGUCGUUAAUCAAACUAAGUGCCCCUUUGGCAUGGCUCUCCGAGCGGCUCUCACUGCAGCUUCACCCCAAGCCAUCCCAAACGCGUCAGAAGAAAAUAGCUUCCGUGCGUGAGCCGAUGAAAAGCCGCACUGGGAAACAACGGCGCGCGACGAGCCAAAAAAAAUGGCUCCCCCUGGCUUCUCCCGUCCACAUGCAUGAAGUUGAAAGAAAUUACAACUUUGCCACCGCCCUCAUCAAUUCCUACCGGUUCAUCUCCCCCAUCCGCCUGCCUCCUCUCUCCCGCUCCUCCUCCCGCGAAGCUCCUGGCGGCGCCGGAUGAAUCGGCAGGGGCGGCCGGUGGCAGGUGGGCGAAGUGGUGGCGGAAUGGAUGGAUCCGGCGGAGGCCAUCCUGAUCCACGGGCUCGUUUUCCCGGAGGCGUCGCCUCCCCUCGUCCGGC